CCUACGGGUGGCAGCAGUGGGGAAUAUUGCACAAUGGGGGAAACCCUGAUGCAGCGACGCCGCGUGAGUGAGGAAGUAUUUCGGUAUGUAAAGCUCUAUCAUCAGGGAAGAAAAUGACGGUGUCUGACUAAGAAGCCCCGGCUAACUCCGUGCCAGCAGCCGCGGUAAUACGUGGGGGGCAAGCGUUAUCCGGAGGUAUGGGGUUAAAAGGGUGCGCAGGCGGGUUUUUAAGUCAUCGGUAAAAGCGUGGGGCUCAACCCCAUCCAGCCGUUGAAACUGGGGAUCGAGAGUGUGCGAGAGGUAUGCGGAAUGCGUGGUGUAGCGGUGAAAUGCAUAGAUAUCACGCAGAACACCGAUUGCGAAGGCAGCAAACCGGUGCACAACUGACGCUCAGGCACGAAAGCGUGGGUAGCGAACAGGAUUAGAUACCCGAGUAGUC
This 439-nucleotide ribosomal RNA is filed under the name uncultured bacterium. RNAcentral describes it as "partial 16S ribosomal RNA". It matches the Rfam family "Bacterial small subunit ribosomal RNA", at positions 338 to 795 of the family's 1533-position model. The record is from RNAcentral.